CCGCUGUCACCACAUUGGCACCCGGUACUGACAGAGAGACGCCCCCUUCCCAGGACCAGUCGGGAAGCUCCAGUAGUCAUGAAGACACCAGUGACUCGGCACCAGAAUUGAGGGCCUCCAUCCUGCCCAGAACCUUGUCUCUUCGGAAUUCCAUCAGUAAAAUUAUGUCAGAAGCCGGCAGCGAGACCCUGGAGGAUGAGUGGCAGUCCAUCUCAGAGAUCGCCUCCACUUGCAACACAAUUCUGGAGUCACUGUCCCGGGAGGGACAGCCCAUCCUAGAGAGUGGAGACCCCAAGGAAACUUCAAAGUGUAAUUCUGAGUAAGGUUUCUGCCCUUGCACACCCCUUCACACAUGUGUGUGUGUGUGUGUGUGUGUGCGUGUGUGCACGCGCGUGUGUGUGCCCGCGCGCAUGUGUGUGCCCUUCCCUGCCUGCCCGUGGGAGUUGAAUGUUAUCUAGGCUCUGCUUCCGGAGAUUCCUAAAUCUCAGAAGACAGGGUUGGUUGGGUUCAUUAUCAGUCAGGAGUGUCUAGGAGCCUGCACUGCUUCCGCUGAGUUCUGACCCCGUGUCCUCAGGCCAGAACCUGGGAGCCUGUCAGAAAAGGUCUCUCACCUAGAGUCCAUGCUGAGGAAGCUCCAGGAGGACCUGCAGAGGGUGAGGAGAGAGCCUGACAGGGAAGCACAGGGCUACCCCUGGAAAGGGUUCUGACUACCAUUCCUCAACCUAGGAGAAGGCGGACAGGGCAGCCCUGGAGGAAGAGGUUCGGAGCCUCAGACACAACAACCAGAGGCUGCUGGCGGAGUCAGAGAGUGCCGCCACCCGCCUGCUCCUGGCCUCUAAGCAGCUGGGUUCACCCACUACUGACCUUGCCUGAGUUCCAGCCUGGACCUGCUUGGGACUGCCUGGCCCCUCAGAGCAGCUGGGUCAUACUAGUGACCUUCCUCAGGACGUCUUUCAGGCCCAUUUGGUGGCUGAUACCUGUCCCUGUUUGUAAAUAUUCUGUAAAGAAAAGGGGACAUCAGAGUUUAAAAAACAAAAAAACAGAAAACAAAAAAAACA
This 1058-nucleotide long non-coding RNA is filed under the name Rattus norvegicus (Norway rat). Its description in RNAcentral is "long non-coding RNA NONRATT003457". The record is from RNAcentral. Lineage: Eukaryota; Metazoa; Chordata; Mammalia; Rodentia; Muridae.